GGUGGGGUGGCGGAGCGGUUGAACGCGCCGGUCUUGAAAACCGGUAUACCCUUCGGGGUAUCGCGGGUUCGAAUCCCGCCCCCACCG
Molecule: transfer RNA, 87 nt
Filed under: Phycisphaerae bacterium
Lineage: Bacteria; Pseudomonadati; Planctomycetota; Phycisphaerae
Also listed under: 3 other names
Description: tRNA-Ser
Rfam family: tRNA
About the family: Transfer RNA (tRNA) molecules are approximately 80 nucleotides in length. Their secondary structure includes four short double-helical elements and three loops (D, anti-codon, and T loops).
Source: RNAcentral